GCGGGAGUGCCGGAGCGGCCAAACGGGAUAGCCUCAAAAGCUAUUGGCUUAGUGCCUACGCAGGUUCAAAUCCUGUCUCCCGCA
Molecule: transfer RNA, 84 nt
Filed under: Nanobdellota archaeon
Lineage: Archaea; Nanobdellati; Nanobdellota
Description: tRNA-Leu
Rfam family: tRNA
About the family: Transfer RNA (tRNA) molecules are approximately 80 nucleotides in length. Their secondary structure includes four short double-helical elements and three loops (D, anti-codon, and T loops).
Source: RNAcentral